AACUUACAGUCACUCCAGAGGGGGGGGAGGAAAAAAAAAAAAAGAACCCUUUCAUCACGUUGGGGUUUUCUUCGCUGUUUUGUUUCACUUAAGACAUCACUCAGGAGCAAAUGGGACAUGAUGUAUGUCUGCAUUCCUCGGCCUGAGGAAUUCUCGGUGUUCGGGUUUCGUUGCCUUUAAGUGACAGGAAGUAGCACUUCACCCUUAUUUUUGCAGUAUUGUCUGAGAAUUAACCACAACGUAAUGCAGGUACAGAAAAUUCGGAUGACGCAAAAGGGAGGGUGUGUUUGUCUUGGAAAGAGCUGAGCAUUGUACCUCUGGGACUGCUGGAAAGGCUCACCCUGAUAAACCUUCUCCAUAAAAGAAAUCUCCCAGGAGCUCUCAGGGAUUUGGGGAGCAGUGGGAUUUUUGAGACACCUGCUGGUGGAUGGUCCCUUUUCUUUGGAGGUCAGCUGUGCAUGGGUUUUGCUGCCCCAUCAGCUUUUCCUAGAAAAUCACAUGCUGAUCAUUGUGAAGAAGUUUUUCUAUGGAAAUCAUUACCUGAUCUCACUGUUUGGAGAUAAAAAGAGAUAAUUUUUUCCUGGAGAAAAGGAGGCUCA
Chiroxiphia lanceolata (lance-tailed manakin) is the source of this 599-nucleotide long non-coding RNA. RefSeq lists it as uncharacterized. The record is from RefSeq and is a predicted model, not a curated record. The transcript has 4 exons. Lineage: Eukaryota; Metazoa; Chordata; Aves; Passeriformes; Pipridae.